AGAUAACAAGAGAGUCGAACAAAGAGAAACAGAGCUGCAAACAAAGACUCUAGACGAUUCAGAGGGUCUUUUAAUAUCAAAGGGAAGCAAUUCAGAGGGUCUUUUACGAUAAGAAUCGGCGGAGGAAUCUCCAAGUGAAGGGCGGCGACAGAUCUUUUAUGAAUGUUUGUGGAAUCGAUCAGAGGAGGCUGCUGAAGCAAGAGCUCUUCGAUCUGGUUAGGUGGAUUUAUGUCGUGUUCUUCGGUUUACCAAGAAAAGAAGAGAAAUUGGAACAAGGGCAGGCUUGUCUCCUCCAUCUUUUUUUUUUGCAUUGCAGCAGUAGCAAGACUGACUGUUCGAAGCUUUGCAACUUCUUCAGGAUGUUCACUUCCUGUACCAAGAGAAAGAGGAACGUCAAGGUUCUUGAUGAACUUCUCAGGAGCUGAAUGUGAAGAUAGGAGAUAAACAGGUUUCUUUUUCAAGAGUGGCUGCAAAUUUGAUCAAGGAUGGGAGUAUGCUCUGUUGAUGUAUCGACCAAUGCUGUUGCUGAGCAAAGCACUUCGGUUCAUACUGGUGUGCUUAGGGGCCUUCGGUGGCUUGUAAAUUUAAGGUCAAUGGCAAAAGCAGAGGCUACAUAAAGAAGCUUGUUGUUACCUGCCUUAGAAGUCAGUUGAAUAUACCAAGAGCUAUUACAACUUCUUCCUCCGGAAGGCAUCUUCUAAUUCUUUUGCGUGAUGCUCCUGCUGAAUUUGAGCAAUGACCAAGCACCCAGUCAUGGUGAGUGAGCUUAAACCCCAAAGUAUCUAUACUUUUUCUACUUGAAUCAUUCUCGAUGAGUAGAUGACAACAUCUUCUUUUUCUGUCGCUUAUGUUUACAAUCUUAGAAAGUGCACUUUUACAUUUCAUAAUUUCUCAUCCCUCUGAUAAUUUCUUCGUAUAUUUACUUUCAACUAAUAUAAUACCUUGGCCACCUUAUGCUUUUUUGCAUGUGAAACUCAGUAAGUAACGAUAAUUUGACACCACAUAUUGACCGGCUCAUGUUAGGUCUUGAACAUCAUAAUGCCUAAUAAGAUCGAUUAAUCCAUAAAAAAGGAUAAAGCUUGUACCUUUAAAAAUCUAAGGAGAGUCAUUUAAAACAACAUACAUACUCUAUGUGACCUCUUUGCUUGCCUCCCCCCUUCCGCAAGUGCUAGAAAGUCUUUAUUGACAUGUCAAUGUCUAGUCUUGUGAACUCUCAAGAAGAAAGUAAUGACGCUGUGGAGAAUGGGUCAAAAGAACCAACAGCGUUCUUAAUAUAAAUAUACUCUUCCAUCUCGUUUACAAAUAUGCCAUAUCUAACUUGUGGAGUGUUUAUGAUCUUUUUGUGGUUAUGUAUUCUAAUCAAUGAUAUUAUGUUUCUUAUCCCUUCUAAUUUUUAUAGCUUAGAUCAUUAGCUCUUCCUUUCAAGGUAGUUGAAUGGACGGUUCCAGCAGUUCCAUGCCCAAGCCAAGGCGGUCCCUCCAAAGAAAUGCCCUCAGCGUCUGAAGGAGUAACUGCUUCUUAAGUGAUAUGUUUAUGAAAAUUCAAACUGUUUUAUCCUGAAUAUAACCCAGUGUUUAAUGCAUAUUUUUAUGAGGGUUGGUAAUUGACAUAACUGCAGCAUAUAUGUGGCUUAGAUGGAUCGGAUGAAGAAACUAUAGAGAUUUUUGCAUUUGCACUAGAAUUCGAGAUUUCAGGAUCAUAUUUAAGUGCUUCUGAAUAUCUCUCUGUUUCUGAGAAGCUAAUAUGAAACAGUGAUUGCACAAUAUUGCUUACUUGCUGUAAAGUUCCUUUCUCUAAUUCAAUUCUUGUUCUACAAUUUUUUUCUAAUUCAUUAAAUUAUUUCUAAGAAAAAUGUGAGAUAAUGAGUAGAUCUUUGUUGUCCAAUUUCAGAACGUGCAGUGUGAAGAAAAAACAAGAACAAAACUGGAUUCACCAGAUCCGUAACAUCCCAGUCACUUGUCCAGCCUCAGAUUCAUGGCGCCCUAGUACUGGAACUUGAUUGGCUGCUUCUGAGAAUUGAUAAAAAUGAUCCACUUGUUUUAUGCAUUGCUGGGGCUGAUAACACCUUCCGGCUCGUUGAGGUUACAGUGUAUGUGUAUACAGAAGUUCAUUGUAAGACUAUAUUUGUAUUCAGAGUCCCAUGAAUGCUUUCAGAUUAGGAUUAGUUUUUUUUAUCAGCAUGUUGUCUCUCCCUUUAUAACUUAUAUGUUUAGAAUAGGGAUGUCUGUGUUUUUAAAUUUUGUUCACCAGAUGACUGUGCACCGUAAAACCUUGUAGAAAGGAAGUUAAAUUCCUGACACAAGGCCGUGUAGGUGGGAUGGUGUAGUGGGGUUGACAACUAGGCCACCCUUGCCAUGUCUAGGUUAGGGCAUAUAUAUAGUAUUUUGUUUCUGUACUAAGAGAAGAGGAAUGUCAAGGUUCUUCAUUGAACUUCUCAGGAGGCAUUCUUUUUUUGUGUGUGUGUUGAAAUCAGAUGCCUUCUGGGUAGUUUAAACGAUGUUGCAAGUAUGGAUGAUGGCUCUAUAGGUAACAAAUAGGAUAUUAGGUCUGCGGGAGGCCUUGGAAGUAAAGCAUUCUUUAUGUUUAUGGUUGCAGGUUUACUAGUUAAGACUUUAGGAAUUCAGAAAGGGUAUAUGCAGAUGAAUGUGGGCAAGGCUAGGAGUAUGACAUGUGUCAGUUUAGACAAUCUUGCUCUGAGUAGUCUCUCUUCUGAAGCAAGAAGGCUCAGGUCCUUGUCAAGUUGCUCGUUAAGUUCACUUCAAAAGUAGCAAGAAAGUAGCAUGUUACAUGGUUGUUGGAUGGAUGAGAUGUCUAUUGGUGAUCGCAGUAUGUUCUUUUGAAGCUAAGCUAAACUAAUGAGACAUAUGGAGCUUCAAUUUUAGCUGAAGGUGGGGCUGUCCAUAUCAGAAGAGUGUAGGAGUUAACAUGCUAGUUCGAUAACUAGAAAGGAAGCCUCGACUCAGGUUUGGUAAUUUGAUUCUAGUUAAGCUAGGAGCUACAUAGGAUACUUAUAAGGUUGGUUACAUGUAAAUCAAGAUACUUGUAGUGUGAGGUAAAUCUCAGUUUCUGCUAGGGUUAUCUUGUUUGAUAGGUUUACUCGAAUGCAGAAGCUGCUUAAAUGGAUAAGGUGCUGGUAUUCCUGGUUAAAGAAGAAGUUAGCUUAUGUGUUUGAGUUGAGACUUAGAGCAACAGCAAAGACAACUCUCUAGAGUGAAAAAAAAGUGAACUGGUCCAAAGGAGGUUGUGGGGCAGUUAUAUGGGAAGAGUAAAAAACAGUGGACACUUAGCUUCAUGGAACUCAUCUCAUAUAUAUAAUGAUAUGAAUAGUAGUUAAUAUAUAGAUAUACAGUGUGUUAAGGAUAUACAUGUAUGCUGAGAAAACAAGCUGCAUGCUGUCACUAGGAUAAGGUGUGUUAUGGUCCCUUGGAGUUGGCAUCACAAGUCAGUUUUGAAUUUAAGGAAAUAUACAAAGAUGUACUACCAAUAAUUAUUCGUAUGUAUGUGUGGCGUGGUUUUGACCU
Camelina sativa (false flax) is the source of this 3521-nucleotide non-coding RNA. The record is from RefSeq and is a predicted model, not a curated record. Lineage: Eukaryota; Viridiplantae; Streptophyta; Magnoliopsida; Brassicales; Brassicaceae.